Molecule: non-coding RNA, 685 nt
Organism: Phascolarctos cinereus (koala)
Lineage: Eukaryota; Metazoa; Chordata; Mammalia; Diprotodontia; Phascolarctidae
Source: RefSeq, a predicted model, not a curated record
CUUAACUCCCAAGCCUGGGCUCACAGGAAGUUCAACACAGAACUUUCCCAAAAGAUCCUAUCUGCCUGGGGUAUAGAUAAUGGAGCCUGAUCCAAAUAGAGGUGAAUAUGUGAGUGGGAUAAGAUGCUUAGAAAAUGAAGGCUAGGAAAUGCCUAUCAUGAUCUGUCAUCUGAAAAAAGAAGUAAAACCACCCUCUGAGGGAACAGACAGAUGUGUUACACAAAAUGAUUAUCCAGCUGGUUCCAAUGACUGCCAGCCCAGUGAAAGGGCAAAACACAGGCUCUUGCUAGCUCCUUCAUCAUUCAUUCAACAACUACAGUUUUGCUGGUGACUGCUCAAAGCUGACAAGCUUUGGUGUUCCAAGAAGCGUUUGUUAUACUUGUGAUUCAAAGGGGGAAAAUGAUGAUAAAGAGAAAGGACAACAAAAGAGAAACAAAACGAAGAUAGGAAGAACUAUAAGAGAACUACAAAAAGCGAUCACCGCAAACAAGCAGUCCUGUUGGUCAACACACCACUGUGUAAUCAGACCAUAUUUCCAUCCUUCUGUCUUCAGGUGUAGCCACUCAGUUGCUUUGGUUGUGGAUUUCGCCUAACUGCCCAAGGGCCUGAAUUUUGCAAGGACUUGAAGCACUGAGAAGCAGAUUUCAGAUGGAAAAUGCCAUCUCAGAAAUAUGAAAAUUUACCU